RNAcentral lists this small RNA (842 nucleotides) under Cryptococcus neoformans H99. Its description in RNAcentral is "Cryptococcus neoformans var. grubii H99 hypothetical RNA". Lineage: Eukaryota; Fungi; Basidiomycota; Tremellomycetes; Tremellales; Cryptococcaceae. The record is from RNAcentral.
GGGGAACUGGGAAAUUAUGAAAAGCUACUUUCUUAUGUGCCAUCCUUUCUGUCAGGGACGUCACGCCGGUCAGCGUAAAAGCCCGACGCUCAAUCGAAGAGGGUGGCGAGAAGGAAGGACGAGGACAGAAUAGCCGAGGGAUGAAAAGGAACAGGAGCCGGACUAAUGGCUGACCGAUGCGACUUUUAGACGUUGGAAGGUCUAGAAGGUGAAAAGAGGCAACGGGACUGGGACAAGGUAAGAGAAGACAACAGUAUUGAUUUUCCUGGGAGACUAUGAAAACUAUGAAACUACAGUUUAUAUAUGUUUCCUAGUUUUCCUUGCUUACUCAUCUUUCUCAUACUGUUAACUCAUGUACCGGACAGGGCCCGAGGAGGUGGUGAGCAUGCUGACCAGAGCAUGUGUAGAUAGCUCGAGGGAGACAGGAAGGUAGAAGGUGGCGAGAGAGAGACCGAAGGACGAAGAGAGAGGUUGAGAAAUCAAAAAGAAUUUAGACGAUCGGCCGCGGUCGUCGGAGGUGGAGGUACUUUGGUUCGGCGGCCGAGAGAGGUGGAGGUUUCGGGUGUCACUUCUGCAUAGCGCCGUGACACUUUCCUUCUGCUUACUCCUCAUCUCUCUCGGAAUAAAGAUGUCGCUAAUUCGUAAUAGGGGCGGGGCUGUCGGACCGGAGGGAAGUGAAUAGUGACCAUGUGUUGGGGAAAAAGAGGAAGGCUGACCAGGCGAAAGAAGGAAGAGGCAAGCCGAAGGAUUGUGGUAUGAAGUUAGGAAGCAGAUCAGACCAUCAACGAUCAUCAUGUCGGAUUCUAGGUUGCUUAUGAUGCAUAAAGAAAGAGAAGAAAAAC